UUUCUUUCGACUCGCAAAUAAUUAACUCUCGACUCCUCACAACUCGACUCUUAGUUAACGACUGCCGAUUAAUUCGUCUUUCCCCUUAAGCAUCCCUUUGCCUUUUCUCAUACCCCCACCACGAACGCCUUCUUCCGCGUAACUAUUCGACCGAGAAACAGACAACAUAUUGAUGGGCCGCUUGGUGGAUUCAAGUUUCCCGACCCUUUUGGCCUGUCG
Molecule: long non-coding RNA, 219 nt
Organism: Bombus impatiens (common eastern bumble bee)
Lineage: Eukaryota; Metazoa; Arthropoda; Insecta; Hymenoptera; Apidae
Exons: 4
Source: RefSeq, a predicted model, not a curated record